GAUGAACGCUGGCGGCGUGCCUAAUACAUGCAAGUCGAGCGAACAGACGAGGAGCUUGCUCCUCUGACGUUAGCGGCGGACGGGUGAGUAACACGUGGAUAACCUACCUAUAAGACUGGGAUAACUUCGGGAAACCGGAGCUAAUACCGGAUAAUAUAUUGAACCGCAUGGUUCAAUAGUGAAAGACGGUUUUGCUGUCACUUAUAGAUGGAUCCGCGCCGCAUUAGCUAGUUGGUAAGGUAACGGCUUACCAAGGCAACGAUGCGUAGCCGACCUGAGAGGCUGGUCGGCCACAUUGGAACUGGGACGCGGUCCAGACUCCUACGGGAGGCAGCAGUAGGGAAUCUUCCGCAAUAGGCGAAAGCCUUACGGAGCAACGCCGCGUGAGUGAUGACGGUCUUCGGAUCGUAAAACUCUGUUAUUAGGGAAGAACAAAUGUGUAAGUAACUAUACACGUCUUGACGGUACCUAAUCAGAAAGCCACGGCUAACUACGUG
RNAcentral lists this ribosomal RNA (497 nucleotides) under uncultured bacterium. Its description in RNAcentral is "partial 16S ribosomal RNA". It matches the Rfam family "Bacterial small subunit ribosomal RNA", at positions 28 to 507 of the family's 1533-position model. The record is from RNAcentral.